GGGGGGGGGGGGGGGGGGGGGGGGGGGGUGCGGGUCGGGCGGCGGCGGGGUAGGAGCUUGCUCUGACGGGUGGCGAGUGGCGGACGGGUGAGGAAUACAUCGGAAUCUACUUUUUCGUGGGGGAUAACGUAGGGAAACUUACGCUAAUACCGCAUACGACCUACGGGUGAAAGCAGGGGAUCUUCGGACCUUGCGCGAUUGAAUGAGCCGAUGUCGGAUUAGCUAGUUGGCGGGGUAAAGGCCCACCAAGGCGACGAUCCGUAGCUGGUCUGAGAGGAUGAUCAGCCACACUGGAACUGAGACACGGUCCAGACUCCUACGGGAGGCAGCAGUGGGGAAUAUUGGACAAUGGGCGCAAGCCUGAUCCAGCCAUACCGCGUGGGUGAAGAAGGCCUUCGGGUUGUAAAGCCCUUUUGUUGGGAAAGAAAAGCAGCAGGUUAAUACCCCGCUGUUCUGACGGUACCCAAAGAAUAAGCACCGGCUAACUUCGUG
This 492-nucleotide ribosomal RNA is filed under the name uncultured bacterium. Its description in RNAcentral is "partial 16S ribosomal RNA". It matches the Rfam family "Bacterial small subunit ribosomal RNA", at positions 35 to 507 of the family's 1533-position model. The record is from RNAcentral.